GCGCUCGGCUGUCGGCUUCGUUGCGCUGGUUCCGCUUCCUUGCGGCGACCCGUCCGGUGUCUGGACCGGGGAGGAGCAGACGCUGGACAGGGAUGUGUUUCCAGCAGGGGACUGUGAGGCCUGGGGGUCUGGCCGCGUCCCAGUGGGGUGCACCCUGAGCCCGCUGAUCCGACCGUAAUCCCUUCUGCUGGAGCUGGGGUGCUGUCCGAAUGGGCUCGGCCACCUUGCUCCUGCCCCUCUGCCCUGGGUUUGGUGUGUACGUGACAGCGGGGUGUACGUGUGUUUAAUAUCUGACACACCUUCGGGUCCUUUGCUGAGAAACGGGCUGAGGGCCCGCACAGGCUGAAGCUUUCGGCUGGAUGGUGAUGGAGGGCUUGCUGAAGACUGUGUGACUAUCGAAGUUCUCAACUCCAAAGAUACUACUUCAGACUCUCUGAUGACUGUUAUGAGUGGGGUGGCAGAAUGAAAAAGAUAUACAAUGAAAAAGGAGAAAAAUUCAACCCAGAAUCUCUUGCUAGAGUUUCGGAGAGAGUGCUCGUAAUUCCCAGGAAGAGGCAUGGAGGACUUGGGUGAGGCUGCUACACCCAAACAGUGGUGUAUGUGGUGAUGGAGGAUUGGACCCACAAACUCCAGAACAGAGCUUUGUAAAAUGUGUGUGGGCAGCUCUGAGGCCUUGGACAAGGCAUCAGUUUCCUCAUUUGUAAAAAGUGAUUAAUGGAAGGCAUCUGGUACAUGGUGAGUGCUUUAUAAGUAGGAGUUAUUUUCCUAACAUCCCCUUUUUUACUUGAGGCUCCAAAAAAGUUAAAACAUCUUACCUGCCACACUCUUUCUAUUAAUAUCAGAUGCCUUUCCCAAGGGAGGGAGAGGGGGCAAGUCAGACUUCCUGGGAGGAGAGAAGGAAAUGGGCUGACGAUUAGACUGCACAGUACAGCCCAUGGGAUCGCUCAGCUGCAGAGCUGGGGCCUGCAUCUGCAGGGUCCAUGGCCUUGCCACCCAUUCUGACAGGAUUGGGAGCUGCUCCGGACUUCCUUUCAAUUUCCCCUUAAGAAGUGUUGUGUCUUAAGGAGCUACAAGGGGAUGAUCCAUAUUGGAGGGGCUCCCAUAGUCUGUCCCUAGUCUGUGUGGCUUUCUGCCCUCAGCCCCUGUGAUUUCCCAAGGCCCUGGAACCUAGGGUUUCCUCUCUCUACCCUGUCCUCCACUGAUUGUCAGAGUUCAGUUCCAGGAGGGGGCAGGCAUCUUGUGUCUUGUGAGCAAGUGGAGGCUUGGGGUAUGACUAAACAUAUUGGUUAUACUUUUUGUUUUCAUAAAACAAAGGAUAGAAAGAAAACUCCAUAAAAUUUUGGCUAGGGGGUGACAUGCAGAAAAUAAUAAGAAAACAAUUAACUGAUAAUUAAAUGAUUUUAUUGAAUGCUUAUUCUGUACCAGGUACUGAUUUGGACCCUUUCUAUACGUUAAUGUGCAAGUGCUUCAAGGUAGGUGCCAUUAUUAUCCCCAAAUUUCAAAUGAGGAAACUGAAGCACAGACGCAGCUCACCUAUGGCCAUUCAGAGCCAGGAUUUAAAGCAGGCAGACAGACUCCAGAGCCAGUGUUCUAGUGAGAGACCAUUGUAGGAGGCAUAUAUUUUUUAAAAACUUGUGAAACCCUGUAGUGUUUACAGUGACAAGACUUCAAAUUCCUACUUCUUCCCCAAACAAAUUUAAAGCCCACAAGGGGCUUUAAAUAUUGCUUUUUGGGGAAAGAAAGAAACUAGAAUAUUCAGAAAACACAAAAUUGUUUAUAGAAUAAAAUAAAUAGCAUGUAACCCCUAUUACUGAGAGAAAAGCUCAAAGAAGAGCUGAAAUUUAAUAUGCUCAGCAGUUUUCUUUCAAUAGGCAAAUAAUCAAAAUGGGAAAGUAAAUUAUGAGCAGUAGGUUGCUUGAUGGGCAUGGAGUCAGAGGGAGUGAAUGGAUCAUUAAUUUGUUCACAACACUUUGGGCCUGUUGCCUGUGAGGCACACUGUGUUGGGUGCUAAGGAUGUAGUGGAGAAUGAGGUGACACACUGCAAUUUAGCGGCUCAUGUAUGUGUGUGGUGGAAUUAACCUAGGGUGGCUGCAGUCACACUGUGGACCUAGAGUACUCGUGAUUUGGUGGCUGAAGGUCCUUGUGUCCCUGACUGCAGGGAUGGGCACUGCUGCCCUUUGCCUCUCUGGCUUCUUUUUUUGUGUUCUUUGAAGUUGGAAAAUUUCUCCAUUUGUGAUUAAAGAAGUUGACGCUACAGGCCUCUAAGCUUCCCUUCAGCCCUUCAUGACAUGUGCUGGUUUUUUGGUCACAGGGAUCUCAAUCUCUGAGCACAGGCUCAGGCAUAUCCUGAACCCAGUGAAUGGUCAGACCUUGCCCCAAGUUUACAUUCAUUCUACUCUCUGAGGUUACGAAGCGUCAUUACUUAAUGCCUGUGCAGUCCUUCAGAUACUAUGACAGCCAAGGUCAGAGGCACAUUUUGUUGGAAGAGGCUAUUUCUAUCUAGUAGGUCUGUGAUACAUAAUGAUAAACAGGAUUCCUUUAUUACACUUCCCUUCUAGCUCUGUCAUCUAGGAACUCUGCCGUUUCCCCAAAAGGUAUAUUGAGGAGGAGAAUAUGGCCUUGGUUAUCCACUCAACCAAGUCCCAGGUGAGUUGGGAAUUUUCCUCUUCCCUCUGAAAUCCCAUUUUAAUUCCUAAAGCAAAGAAAUUUCUUUCUCUUAGCAUGAAGCUUGUCAGCCUGUUAGCAUCAGCAGUUUUAAAAGAUAGGAUCAAGUGGAUCCGAUGGACUGCCAACAAAAUGGUGACUGGGUGUUGCUUAGUUGUGUAGAAGUAGCAGUGAAGAUCGGGGCCUUGGCAGUCUCUCCCAUCAGUUGGUAGGAGAGGGCAUGGGGAAUAUGGGGCCUCUUAGCACAUAGUUGAAGAGAAGGACUGAUAGAGGUGGUUGGGUGAGAAUCAAGCUUCCAUUUGUUUACUUGAGACAUCUGGCUCAGAUAAGCAAAGGCACAUGAGACAGCUCUGCACCUGUUUGCUUAUAAUUUUCUCCGUGGGGAGGAAAGACAUGUAGACAAAUCUGUGUGGUGCAAUACCAGCAGAUUUAAGGAGGGCCUACUCAACAAUAAAGUGCUUUGGGGAAAAUGUUGUGUGAAUUCAGAGUGAGCAGGCGGGUCUGGGUCAGAGAGAGGGAAGGCUUUAUUCCUUCAACCAGCAUUGCUAGGUCGGCCGACAACCUCCCCACCCCUGCUAAUGGUAGCAGUGAGCUUUGAAGUAGGCCCUGAAGGAUGAGCAGAUUUUUGAGGAGAAAGAUUUGAAAAGAGAGUGACAUAAAUGGCUUAGAAUGGAGAAGAGAUACUACUCUGAGGCAAGAAAAAAGAAAGUACAUUGAAAACAUGGGUUUAUUGUCCUACAGAAACUUAAGAGGCUGCCAAUCUGUUUGCAGUAUACUAAUAAUCACACCCAAAGUUCUUUCCUAAAUAUAAUUCUCAAACUUGGUAUAUUUCUCAGUUUCUUACUUACCAUGCACGUCUCUUUCUUAAUAUAAUGAAGAUAAGCUUAAGGCCAGCUGAACACUAGGCUUGGACGGGAAGGCCAUAUCUUUAAUGUGAUCUGUUUUUUAAGUCAUUUUGUUCAGCUGAGAAGUUUUAAUGGGCCUUUGUUGCUCAAAUUUCUUUUCAAACUUACUUCCUACUGUAUGAGAUGUAGAAACAGUUUGCUUUUGCAGACAUAUGAAGCCCCAGAUUUCUGGACUCUGUAUUCCAUUUUGUUUUAGCUUGAAAAUUGGCCAGUCCUUUACUGAGCUCAGCUCUUCUUCUUUGCCAGAUAUAUCCUGCAGCAUCCCAUACCAUCUAGCAUUCUGCCUCUUUCCAACCUCCUCCGUGGGAGCCACAGCCGCAGUUAGCUUUUGGUCUGCCUUCACAGUUAUUAAAUUAUUUUGCCAGUAUAUAUCAAGAGCCUACAACAUUCUAGCUUAAAUAUCCAUCUCCUUGAAACCUUCCACCUGCUUGUCAAGCCAAUGCCACCAUUAUCUUUUAGAUUUUUGUUAUGCUACCCUCCACUUUAAGAGGCUGAUUUCUGAAUUAGGAUUGGCUAGUGUAUAAUUAGUAUAACCAGUAGACCCCAAAUAUACAUAGGCCCUAAUAUAAUAGAAGUUUAUUUCUUGUUCUUGUAACCAUAUGAUUGGGUGGCCAUUCAGAGCCUUGCUAUGUGAAGCUCUAGUAUCUUUACCACAUGGGUCCCAAACUCACUUUGGGUCAUCUCUACACCAGCCAGCCAGAAGGGGACAGCAUCAUGGAGGAAUGUGUGUUGAAUCAGGCCUGGAAGUGGUGUACCUUUCUUCUGCUUGCAUUCUGUUAGCUAUAAUUCAGUCAAAUGGUCACAUCUAACUACAGAGGAGGCUGGGAAAUGUUUGUCUACCUUGAAAGGUAAGGAGGAAGUGUAUUUUAGUGAGCAAUUAGCAGUUUCUGCCACUCUCCUCAUAUAUUUAGAUUAUUUAGUCUUAUUUUGCUAUUGUAAGUUAUAAUGUUUAUUUCUAACUUUUUUCAUAUUGUGAUCAUUUUCUUAUAAUUAUUUUUAGAUAUGAAAUUGCCAUGUCAAAAGAAUGUACAUAUUUUAAGACUCUUCAGCAUACAAGUGAAUAAAAUCUUGCCUUUGAAACCUGUGCGUGCUUGGAUCCAUUUCCUCCCCAUCCCAUCAACCGCCCCUAAUUAUGUCUCAUUUAACCUUUUCUUCAGAACCACAUGCAGAAGGUUCAGGGCUUUGUGUCAUUCAAGGAUGUGGCUGUGAACUUCACUGAGGAAGAAUGGAGUGAACUGGAUCCCUCUCAGAGAGUCUUGUACAGGGACGUGAUGCUAGAGAACUAUAGGCACCUGGUUUCCUUGGGAUUUCCAUUUCCUAAGCCUGAUGUCAUCUCCCAACUGGAACUAGCUGUAAACCCAUGGAUGCAGAAGGGAGAUGUGCUAAGAAGCAGCUUUACACACUUGGAGACCAGAAAGUUGACACCAAAGAUGGGAUUUUCUGAAAAAAAAUUAUACUGAGGGAUAAAUAUGGAGAGAAGCACAGAGUCUGAUGCAAGGAUCUCUAGUUUGAAAGAUACCUGGUGAUUUACAAAGAUCAAAGAGGAUGCACAAGAUAGACUUUAGAAAGAAGCAACAGUUAUCUGCAAGAAAAGAACUCCCAUUGCAGAUAGUAACUCCAAAUGUAUUGAAUUAGGAAAGUUAGUUUGAAGUAUGACUUUGUUAUAAAACCAAUACAUCCUAAAGAAGAAAUACAUUAUACAUAUGAUGCUCCAGGAAAGAGCUCCAAGCAGACUUCAAAAUUAUUCAGACAUAAGAAAGAUAGCACAACUGAGAAAGUUCUUCAGUGUAAUGCAUGUAAUAAAAUCUUCAAUCAUCACUCAGUUCAUAUUCAACAUUGUGUAGGGCAUAAUGGAGAGAAAAAUUUGGAAUGUAAUCAAUACAGAAGGCCUUUGGUCAUGGUAUACACCACAUUGAACAUCAGGGAACUAAUACUGGAGGGAAGUCUUAUGAAAAUAGGAAAGGCUUUAACUGGUACCCAUACCUUACCAAACAUCAGAGUGUUCACAGUGGGAAGGAAUAUAUGCAUGAAAGAGGCAUAAUUCAGAAUACACCAUUUAUUCAACAUCAGAGAAUCCAUAAUGGAGAGAAACUUGAAUGUAGUGAAUGUAGAAAAACUUUUAGUAAUUAUUCAGCCCUUACCGUACAUCAGAGAAUUCAUACUGGAGAGAAACCAUAUGAAUGCAAUGACUGUGGGAAAGCCUUUAAUCACAGCUCAUCUCUUUCUCAACGCCAGAGAAUACAACUGGAGAAAAACCCCAUGAAUGUAAUGGAUGCAGGAAGGCUUUUAUUCAGAUAACACACUUUAUUCAACAUCAGCGUAUUCACACUGGAGACAAACCUUAUGAAUGUAAUGAAUGUGGGAAAGCCUUCACUCACAGUACAUCCCAUAUUGAACAUUAGUUUGUUCACACUGGAGAGAAGCCCUAUGAAUGUAAUUAAUAUGGGAAAGCCUUCAGUCACAAUGCAUCCCUUAUUGUCCAUCAGUUUGUUCACACUGGAGAGAAACCCUAUGAAUGUAAUGAAUGUAGAAAGGUUUUCAGCCACAGCUCACACCUCUACCAACAUCAGAGAACUCACACUGGAGAGAAACCAUAUACCUGUAAUGACUGUGAGAAAGCAUUUAGUGAUCAAUCAGCCCUGAUUUGACAUCAGAGAAUUCACACUGGAGAGAAACCCUACAAAUGUAAAGAAUGUGGUAAAGCUUUCAGUCAGAGCUCAACUCUCAUAUAACAUACAAAAACCCACAAUGGAGAGAAAUGUUACACUUCUAAGGGUUGUGGGAAAGCCUUCAGCCAGAGUUCAUCCUGUACUCAACAUCAGAGGGUUCAUACUGGAGAGAAACCAUUUGAAUGUCUUGAAUGUGGAAAAGUCUUCAGUAGAAGUGCCCACCUAACUCAACAUAGGAGAAUUCACACUGGAGAGAAACCUUGUGUAUGUAAUGAAUGUGGCAGAGCUCUCAGGUGUAGUUCAGCCCUCAUUUGGCAUCAGAGACAUCACAGUGCAGAAUUGCUCUGAAUGUUCAGACUGUUUACCUUAUUAAAUACCAAAGGAUUAUACUUUCACAGGUUAUUACAAUUGUGAUCCUUUAUUUUGAAGGCUGAAAAUGUACCCCCCCCCCCGAUUUUUUCCUGCAAAGAAGUUUCAUCUGCCAAAAUACCACAAAUCCAAGUGAAAAAAUACUUACCUGAAAUCUGGAAUAACGCAAGAAAUUCUAAACACCAAUCUUCAUGUGUAUGUGCAUGUUUUUUUUUUUUUUUACCUGUACCUGAAAAUGACUAAUGUUAGUCACCAUGAUGUAAUUUUUUUCCUGGCCCCAGGAAUAGGCUAUUUCAACAUGUCAAGGAAUUUCAGUUGUUUGAAUUGAGCUUGUCAUUUCUUGUACUGAUUGGAAUAGUGCCAUGUACAAACUAAAUAGAGAAACUCUUGGUUGAUUAUAUAUCCUAAUCCACUUUCCUUUAAAUCUCUGCCCUAACAUAUAGUCAUUCCUAUCCCCAGGACACACCCUCCUGUGGACAGCUAUUGUCUGCUUUACCUUGCCCUAUUUUUUUUGCACCCCACAGAGGCAAGAUGGACUGCUUCUCAAUUAAUAGGCCAGUUAUUGAGACUGUUGACAAUUUAGAUACCAAGAGAAUUUGAGAGAAAGUAUUACACAUACAAGGGACUUCUGAGGAGAGCAGGGUAGGUUCAUGCCAGUCCAGAAUGGCAAGAGCAUAGAGGAGGUUGGGCCUUUUUAGUGGCUAGGGGUAGGGUUAGGAAAGUGUUCCCAUGCAUGAAGUUUUGGGGAUUCAAGUGGGAUUCAUGAUCCAGUGCUAAGAGCUCAGGAGGAACGCAUAAGUUUCCUUACCUAAAGUGCCUGGUGUGUGUGGGGGGGUGGAAGACUGGAAGCUCAAAUGCUGCCAAUGGCCAGACAUAAAAAAUGGAGUCAGACUCUUUAUUAUACCCACUUUCUCAGAAAAUCUUUGUUCACUUAGCUCAAAAUAGCUCUUCAAUAUUACUGUAUCUUUUGUUGAAUCUAUUUUGGUUUUACCAUCUCCCCUCUCAAAGUCAUCUUUCCCCAGGGCAGAAAUUAUAACUAUCACUUCUCAGAAAAUAAACAUUAUUUACCUUGGGAACCAGUAGCCUUACAAAAUAAUUACCAUCUCAUACAAUCCUGACAGAGGAGUUGGGGAAUGAUCCAACACUUUUAGAAAAUACUUUAGGAAAAGAAAGCCUAUGAAUUUGUAUCAAACUAUCACAGAUUAAAUUACUUGGGGUUGUCUGAUGAAAAUUACUGUAUAUGGUCCUAAGAAGCUGUACGUGUACUUAAUGAGCCAGGCAUUAAUUGUUGGUCACACUGUGAGUCUAUACAUAUAUGCAGUGUUCUUUUAGGUCAUCCUAAGCUUAAAUUCAUUAGGGUCUUUUAGGUUCCAUGAAUUAUUUUGUCUUCCUUUUUUUCUCUGUCUUAUGCAUUUUUCAGUUAGCUAUGAGAAUUAUUGUGUAGGAUUAGAAAGAAGUCUCUUGACUUUCCCGUAUCAUUCCUGAUGUACUAGUCAGAACUUGAGAUUUCUCUGCUUUAUAUUUUUCUCACUAAAAAGACUCUCCUUUCUCACCAACUUUCCUAUUCUCUUCUAUUUUAAACACUUCCAUGGUGUUAGCUACAGAUGGAAGUUCAACAGGAUUUGAGUUUCAGAGCUGAAAAGUACAACUAAAGGUUGAGAAGGAAGAAUUUUUUUUCUGCAAAUUAUCUGUAAGACAAAAUAUUCUGAAGGAAUGGUUACAUCUAGAAAAAAGAUCUGAACCCCCUUGGUAACUUUUUGAAAUUGAAAUGGUGGGAGAAAAAGUCAACUAUAGCUAUGUCUGUCAUUAGAAUCAGUGCUCUUAAACUGUUCUUUGUUAAGAGCUUAGGUAACAAGGCCCUUAACGAAAACAUUUCUUCCCUGGAGCCAGUUAGCUCUGUUGUGGAGAAACAUAUGCCCUUCCUUCAGAGGCUUCAUUCUGUGAUGACUGUUUAGAGUUAAGACUCAGGACAAGUGCCUGAAUAAAAGGCCUGUUGUAGAAUGUGUGAAUUGCACUGUAAUGAAUUGGUUUAAUUCUGGUGUAAUCUAGUUUGGAUCCUGAAAUACUAAAAUUUCUAGAACAUAAUAUUUGAAAUCUUAAGUUCCAGUUCCAGAAGUCUUGGCUGUUGGAUUUCAAGGUUUUAGUCAAUACUUUUUUUUUUUAUAUUUUGAUCAGCUUUUGGUAGGUAAUCUGGAUUCUUCAGUUUUUCAAUCAUGCAAGUCAAAAUUUCUACUUUCUGUGGUUAAAACUGCUUAUGUUUGAUGUGUUCAGUGAAGAUUGAUUUACAUAUUUUAUGUUAAAUCCUCCAAGGAGCUUGGAUAGUUUUCAUCAUCUUAUGAGGUCACUGUAUGGUGCUUUGCACAUGGUUUAAAAAAUUCAUAUAAAAUAGAGUUACUCAGUGAAAGUCAUUCCUCUAGUGCCUUUGGAUACAUGUCAUAGAUGAUUUCUGGAUGUUUUUCCAAGAAUCAUGAAUACAAAAUAUAGUGACUUGAGAUAAACAUCUUGGGGAAAUCAUAUCAUACUUAUAUUUUACUUCAUAAGAAUUCAGCCAUAUUCACCAAGAUCCCUCCAAAUCCCCACAGGUACAUAAAUCAGUGAAAUUAAAAAUAUUUGAAGAUUAUAUUUUGCAUAUAACAUUUCUAUUAUUUACUUAUAAAUUUAUACAAACAAGCACAUAUUAGCAUUGUUAUUAGGGUUAUAUACAAAACAAUAUAUAUGCAUUUUAUGGGCAACUUAAGAGAUUUAUAAGGGCAUUAUUGUUAAUACUCAAUUUCAUCUUAUGUGCUGACUUCAGAAGCUGACUUUGUAUAAGAUUUUGCCUCCAAAGAAUCCAGAGGCACAGCCAAUACACUUGUGUAAUAGUUUAUUUUUCUGGGUGAAUGUUUUUGCUUGGUUUUCCAAGGUUGAUGAUAUCAGAAGAUAUGCCACUUCAUCCUGGUAGGAAAGUUGCUGUCAUACAGCAAUGUGGAUAAUUGAGAAACACUUUUGGUUAACCAAGGUAAAAAUACAUUUCCCAAAGUAAACCUGGCCUUGGGUAUCUGGAUAAUUGCCUCAGUUUAUAACAGACCUACUUUAA
Molecule: RNA transcript, 9683 nt
Organism: Manis pentadactyla (Chinese pangolin)
Lineage: Eukaryota; Metazoa; Chordata; Mammalia; Pholidota; Manidae
Gene name: zinc finger protein 300-like
Exons: 5
Source: RefSeq, a predicted model, not a curated record